This 490-nucleotide ribosomal RNA is filed under the name uncultured Nitrospira sp. RNAcentral describes it as "bacterial SSU rRNA". It matches the Rfam family "Bacterial small subunit ribosomal RNA", at positions 8 to 490 of the family's 1533-position model. The record is from RNAcentral. Lineage: Bacteria; Pseudomonadati; Nitrospirota; Nitrospiria; Nitrospirales; Nitrospiraceae.
AGAGUUUGAUCCUGGCUCAGAAUGAACGCUGGCGGCGCGCCUAAUACAUGCAAGUCGAGCGAGAAGACGUAGCAAUACGUUUGUAAAGCGGCGAACGGGUGAGGAAUACAUGGGUAACCUACCCUCGAGUGGGGAAUAACUAGCCGAAAGGUUAGCUAAUACCGCGUACGCUCCUUGGACUUCGGUUCAGGGAGGAAAGCGCUACCGUGGGUAGCGCGCUCUUGGAUGGGCUCAUGUCCUAUCAGCUUGUUGGUGAGGUAACGGCUCACCAAGGCUUCGACGGGUAGCUGGUCUGAGAGGACGACCAGCCACACUGGCACUGCGACACGGGCCAGACUCCUACGGGAGGCAGCAGUAAGGAAUAUUGCGCAAUGGGCGAAAGCCUGACGCAGCGACGCCGCGUGGGGGAUGAAGGUCUUCGGAUUGUAAACCCCUUUCGGGAGGGAAGAUGGAAUGGGGUAACCCAUUCGGACGGUACCUCCAGAAGCAG